CCAGUCACAGGACACUGAGACUCAGGGUGGCAGAUGUCAAGUCCUUCAUUGUUCAAUUUGAGCUCAGAGAAGUAAUAAAGGCAAAGCCCUUCAGGUUGAUGGAGGAAAAUUUGUUCUUUAUUGGAGAAGAUGUGAGGUGGAAGAGUUCACCUGUGGAUUCAGUGUGAAGACGGCAACAGAUAUCAAAGGAGAGGAAGC
Molecule: long non-coding RNA, 198 nt
Filed under: Gorilla gorilla gorilla (western lowland gorilla)
Lineage: Eukaryota; Metazoa; Chordata; Mammalia; Primates; Hominidae
Description: lncRNA (ENSGGOG00000044433.1)
Source: RNAcentral